AAGUUAUUUGUGCAAUUCAAUUUAAUUUGAUAAUUAAAAUCUUACAUUUAUUUAUUAUUGAUUUUAUGAGAAGUAU
This 76-nucleotide transfer RNA is filed under the name Tetrathemis polleni. RNAcentral describes it as "tRNA-Val". Lineage: Eukaryota; Metazoa; Arthropoda; Insecta; Odonata; Libellulidae. The record is from RNAcentral.